Molecule: long non-coding RNA, 957 nt
Filed under: Gossypium barbadense (sea-island cotton)
Lineage: Eukaryota; Viridiplantae; Streptophyta; Magnoliopsida; Malvales; Malvaceae
Description: long non-coding RNA (GBAR_LNC003434)
Source: RNAcentral
CGUGGAAACGAUAUCUUUGCUCACCAUAACUAUACUAUUAAUUGAUGGAUGCAAUUGUCUAGUCAAAUUUUUAGUUAGUUUAAGACACAUCAGCACUCUCUAGCCUUUGAGCCUUACAUGCACACUAAGAGUGCACUCUCUAAGCAUACUAAGGGUUGGGAGAAUGCUAGGAGAUGUAUUUUGUAAGGCCCAAUUUUUACCUGGGCCCAUACCAAAACCAAAAUAAUAAAUAAUAAAACCAAUAAACUAACAGUCCAUUUUACAGCAGUCCAAUUACAGAUAAAUUUAUGGCCCAAAUUAUAUAACCCAUAAUGCUAUAGACCCAAAUUCCAAGCCUGAUUGUCAAGCCCAAUACCCAAUGGCCUAAGACACCAAUUGAUACACUCAUUAACCCAAACAAGCCCAAAUCAGAAUUAACCAAACCUUAACAGCCCAAGCCCAAAACAGAAAUAAACCCUAUCCUCAGCAAAAGAGCACAGGAACCCCAGCCUUGCGCCGCAGCAACAGCACCACCACUGUACGGCCUCCGUACCCUCCGUACACCUCCAUGUCGCUUUAGUACCUGCAAGAAGACAAAUACGACAGCAGCAAAGAAAAAAAAACAAAAUUUAUAUUUUUCCUUUUUCUUCUUCUUUUCGGCUAUCAAAGGCUAGGAAUCAAGCUAUAUUUUUUUUGGAGAACGUACGAAUACGAUACAAAAAAAUCAAUAAAUUCAGAAAACAAAAAGUUUUAAAAGGUGGUGCCUUUAUCUUUUGUUCAAUUUUUUAUCGUUAUUUCUCUUAUUUUUAUUGAUUAGAAAAAAUAAAAUAUAAAAAGGGGAGGAAAAGAGAGUGAAAAUCUCACCUGGGUUCGUCCGUCGCCACCACGGUGGUUUCUUUCGCCGGAAUCAGCGCCCGGAUGAAGGGGAGUUUGAGAGCAUCUCAAGGGCGUUUCAAUUUUUUUUAAGGGUUAACAGAA